UUAAAUAUGAUGAAAAAUUUAGACGGGCGGUCUGAUCAAAAUGCUGAUUCGUCUAAUUCUGAUUUA
Molecule: small nucleolar RNA, 66 nt
Filed under: Ciona savignyi (Pacific transparent sea squirt)
Lineage: Eukaryota; Metazoa; Chordata; Ascidiacea; Phlebobranchia; Cionidae
Description: snoRNA (ENSCSAVG00000012467.1)
Source: RNAcentral